GAGAAAUGCAGAGAAAGAAAGAGACAGAGACAGAGAGAUACAAAGAGACAGAGACAGAAAUAGAGAGACACGCGUGUCUCCCAGGCCGCCGUCCCGCCCAGUUCUAGGCCUGGCUGCAGUCCUGCCCCCGGUGCCCAGAGAGCCCUUCUCCCAUCACGGGCCAUCUCCACUGAGCCAUGUGCUAAGCAUCAGCUCCUGGGAGCCACGGUGUCCCCUCACACCUGCAGUGAGGACUGAGAAAGCUGCAGAUGGGAGGCGAGGCAGCGACACAGCCGGCUGGCACUAGGCAUGGGGUGACAAGGUGCAUGGCGCGGCCAGGACAGCCUUGUGCAGGGGACAGCGGAAGCUCAGGAGACAAGCCACAGCAGCCUCAUCAACGGCCCCGCUGCUGCCGCGGGAAUCGCCCACACUACCCACAGGCUCCCCACCAGCCCUGGGUGCAGGAGACACUGAGGUAGGUCCUGUCCUGGGAGGUGUGGGAGCCUGCUGAGGGCUGGCUUUGGCGGGAGCUCCAGCCCAUGGGGGAACAGUGGCCAGCGCUGGGAAGUAAAGAUCCCCCACGCCUAGGCUGGCCAGUUUCCAUGGGGGCAGCACAGCCCACCUCACGUCUCCAGUGGCUCACACUCGGAACGUUUGCCAGCCUGCUCUGCUGAGCGGUGUGAGCCACCUGAGUGGCCCCAGCACCUCCCAGCUGAUGCCCCCACCUGCAGCCCCCAGGACGCACCCCCACUCCUGCAGGCUCAGACCCCACUGCAGCCUGGGCUCCCAGCCGCCGCCAGUGCUCACACGUUUUCUCCUGCAGGUGUUUUUCCCAAUAAAAUCUGUGCAUCUCUCA
This is a long non-coding RNA of Homo sapiens (human), 835 nucleotides long. RefSeq lists it as uncharacterized. The transcript has 2 exons. The record is from RefSeq and is a predicted model, not a curated record. Lineage: Eukaryota; Metazoa; Chordata; Mammalia; Primates; Hominidae.